GGCCCGUUGGUCAAGCGGUUAAGACACCGCCCUUUCACGGCGGUAACACGGGUUCGAAUCCCGUACGGGUCAUCAAG
This 77-nucleotide transfer RNA is filed under the name Bacillus velezensis YAU B9601-Y2. Its description in RNAcentral is "tRNA-Glu". It matches the Rfam family "tRNA". Rfam says of the family: Transfer RNA (tRNA) molecules are approximately 80 nucleotides in length. Their secondary structure includes four short double-helical elements and three loops (D, anti-codon, and T loops). Further hydrogen bonds mediate the characteristic L-shaped molecular structure. tRNAs have two regions of fundamental functional importance: the anti-codon, which is responsible for specific mRNA codon recognition, and the 3' end, to which the tRNAs corresponding amino acid is attached (by aminoacyl-tRNA synthetases). tRNAs cope with the degeneracy of the genetic code in two manners: having more than one tRNA (with a specific anti-codon) for a particular amino acid; and 'wobble' base-pairing, i.e. permitting non-standard base-pairing at the 3rd anti-codon position. The record is from RNAcentral. Lineage: Bacteria; Bacillati; Bacillota; Bacilli; Caryophanales; Bacillaceae.